UUAAGCUAAUAAGAGCGUAGGGUGGAUGCCUUGGCACUAGGCGCCGAAGAAGGACGUGACAAGCUGCGAUAAGCUGCGGGGAGGUGCAAAUGACCUUUGAUCCGCAGAUAUCCGAAUGAGGGAACUCAGCACGGGUAAAUCCGUGUUAUCCGCACAUGAAUACAUAGUGUGUGGGAAGGGAACCCGGGGAACUGAAACAUCUUAGUACCCGGAGGAAGAGAAAGAAAACGAUCGAUUUCCUGAGUAGUGGUGAGCGAAAGGGAACGAGCCCAAACCGUGGGAUAGAAAUAUUCUGCGGGGUAUGGACCCCAUAGUAACACUUAGUUUUGUAGCAGAAGACGGCUGGAAAGCCGCUCCAGAGAGAGUAACAGACUCGUAGGCGAAACGAAACGAAGGUUCGGGGAAUCCGGAGUACCACAGGACACGCGAAAUCCGGUGGGAAGGCGGGAGGACCAUCUCCUAAGGCUAAAUACGACCUAGUGACCGAUAGAGUACAGUACCGUGAGGGAAAGGUGAAAAGAACCCCGGGAGGGGAGUGAAAGAGAACCUGAAACCCUAUGCUUACAAGCAGACAGAGCACUACUAAAUAGUGUGAUGUCGUACUUUUUGUAGAACGGACCGGCGAGUUACGUUUCGUAGCAGGUUAAGGUAUUCAGUACCGGAGCCAAAGCGAAAGCGAGUUUGAAAUGAGCGAAAGUUGCGAGGCGUAGACCCGAAACCGAUUGACCUAACCAUGUACAGGUUGAAGCAGUGGUAAGACAUUGUGGAGGACCGAACUCACGCCUGUUGAAACAGUCGGGGAUGAUGUGUGGUUAGCGGAGAAAUUCCAAACGAAAUCGGAUAUAGCUGGUUCUCCUCGAAAUAGCUUUAGGGCUAGCCUCUGGAUUAGAGAAUGUUGAAGGUAGAGCACUGAAUAGCCUAGGGGGUUUCACGACUUACCGAAGCUUAUCAAACUCCGAAUGUCAACAGAUUAUACCAGGGAGUCAGACAGUGAGAGAUAAGUUCCAUUGUCAAAAGGGAAACAGCCCAGACCUGCAACUAAGGUCCCGAAGUUACAGUUAAGUGGUAAAGGAUGUGUUACCGCUAAAACAACCAGGAUGUUGGCUUAGAAGCAGCCAUUCAUUCAAAGAGUGCGUAAUAGCUCACUGGUCGAGUAGUAAUGCGCCGAAAAUUAUCGGGGCUAAAACUGUACACCGAAGUUCAGGAAUACACGAUAGUGUAUUGGUAGAGGAGCAAUGUAUGCGGGCUGAAGCGCCAGCGGAAGCGGGCGUGGACUGCAUACAAGAGAGAAUGCCGGUAUAAGUAGCGAGAUCGGAGCGAGAAACUCCGACGUCGAAAGUCUAAGGUUUCCUGGGGAAGGUUCGUCCUCCCAGGGUUAGUCGGGGACUAAGGUGAGGCCGAAAGGCGUAGCUGAUGGACAACAGGUAGAUAUUCCUGUACCGUCCGAUGACGACUAAAUGAAGCAAUGACACAGAAGGAUAGUCCGACCGCGGCGAUGGAAGACCGCGGCCAAAGCAUGAGGCUGGUGCGUAGUGAAGUACGCGUACCAAAGCUGGGUGCUGAUGGGGAGUGAAAACUAGUAGCGAAGCGGAUGAAUUCACACUGGCGAGAAAAGUUGCUAAAUAUGUCUGAAGACGCCCGUACCGCAAACCGACACAGGUAGACGGCAAGAAAAUUGCAAGACGAACGGGAGAACCAUUGUUAAGGAACUCUGCAAAAUGACCCCGUAACUUCGGGAGAAGGGGAGCCUGCGUAAGCAGGCCGCAGUGAAGAGGCCCAAGCGACUGUUUAUCAAAAACACAGGUUUCUGCAAAAUCGCAAGAUGAUGUAUAGGAGCUGACGCCUGCCCAGUGCUGGAAGGUUAAGGGGAAGUGUUAGAGCAAUCGAAGCACAGAACUUAAGCCCCAGUGAACGGCGGCCGUAACUAUAACGGUCCUAAGGUAGCGAAAUUCCUUGUCAGGUAAGUUCUGAC
This 1972-nucleotide ribosomal RNA is filed under the name Clostridiales bacterium Firm_09. Its description in RNAcentral is "bacterial LSU rRNA". It matches the Rfam family "Bacterial large subunit ribosomal RNA", at positions 3 to 1987 of the family's 2925-position model. Lineage: Bacteria; Bacillati; Bacillota; Clostridia; Eubacteriales. The record is from RNAcentral.